AGUGAACGCUGGCGGUAGGCCUAACACAUGCAAGUCGAACGGCAGCACAGUAAGAGCUUGCUCUUACGGGUGGCGAGUGGCGGACGGGUGCGGAAUACAUCGGAAUCUACUUUUUCGUGGGGGAUAACGUAGGGAAACUUACGCUAAUACCGCAUACGACCUACGGGUGAAAGCAGGGGAUCUUCGGACCUUGCGCGAGUGAAUGAGCCGAUGUCGGAUUAGCUAGUUGGCGGGGUAAAGGCCCACCAAGGCGACGAUCCGUAGCUGGUCUGAGAGGAUGAUCAGCCACACUGGAACUGAGACACGGUCCAGACUCCUACGGGAGGCAGCAGUGGGGAAUAUUGGACAAUGGGCGCAAGCCUGAUCCAGCCAUACCGCGUGGGUGAAGAAGGCCUUCGGGUUGUAAAGCCCUUUUGUUGGGAAAGAAAAGCAGCAGGUUAAUACCCCGCUGUUCUGACGGUACCCAAAGAAUAAGCACCGGCUAACUUCGUG
RNAcentral lists this ribosomal RNA (492 nucleotides) under uncultured bacterium. RNAcentral's name for it is "partial 16S ribosomal RNA". It matches the Rfam family "Bacterial small subunit ribosomal RNA", at positions 29 to 507 of the family's 1533-position model. The record is from RNAcentral.